GUGUUGGAUCGUACCCGUACCACCAAAUUCUGUCAGAACUUGUAGCUAAGCGUGCUUGGACGAGAGUAGGACAAAGUUAGGUGACCACUUGAGAAUUCCUCGUGUUGCUUACA
This 113-nucleotide ribosomal RNA is filed under the name Cucumis melo (muskmelon). Lineage: Eukaryota; Viridiplantae; Streptophyta; Magnoliopsida; Cucurbitales; Cucurbitaceae. The record is from RNAcentral.